RNAcentral lists this ribosomal RNA (497 nucleotides) under uncultured bacterium. Its description in RNAcentral is "partial 16S ribosomal RNA". It matches the Rfam family "Bacterial small subunit ribosomal RNA", at positions 28 to 507 of the family's 1533-position model. The record is from RNAcentral.
GAUGAACGCUGGCGGCGUGCCUAAUACAUGCAAGUAGAACGCUGAAGCUUGGUGCUUGCACCGAGCGGAUGAGUUGCGAACGGGUGAGUAACGCGUAGGUAACCUGCCUCUUAGCGGGGGAUAACUAUUGGAAACGAUAGCUAAUACCGCAUAAAAGUCGAUAUCGCAUGAUAUUGAUUUGAAAGGUGCAAAUGCAUCACUAAGAGAUGGACCUGCGUUGUAUUAGCUAGUUGGUGAGGUAACGGCUCACCAAGGCGACGAUACAUAGCCGACCUGAGAGGGUGAUCGGCCACACUGGGACUGAGACACGGCCCAGACUCCUACGGGAGGCAGCAGUAGGGAAUCUUCGGCAAUGGGGGCAACCCUGACCGAGCAACGCCGCGUGAGUGAAGAAGGUUUUCGGAUCGUAAAGAUCUGUUGUAAGAGAAGAACGAGUGUGAGAGUGGAAAGUUCACACUGUGACGGUAACUUACCAGAAAGGGACGGCUAACUACGUG